CCUACGGGUGGCUGCAGUGAGGAAUAUUGGUCAAUGGACGAGAGUCUGAACCAGCCAAGUAGCGUGAGGGAGGAAUGCCCAGAGUAUUGUAAACUUCUUUUAUCAAGGAAUAAAGCGAGGCACGUGUGCCUUGUUGCAUGUACUUUAUGAAUAAGCAUCGGCUAACUCCGUGCCAGCAGCCGCGGUAAUACGGAGGAUCCGAGCGUUAUCCGGAUUUAUUGGGUUUAAAGGGAGCGUAGAUGGGUUGUUAAGUCAGUUGUGAAAGUUUGGGGGCCAACCGUCAAAUGGCAAUUGAUACUGGCAGUCUCGAGUACAGUUGAGGUAGGCGGAAUGCGCGGUGUAGCGGUGAAAUGCUUAGAUAUCACGAAGAACUCCGAUUGCGAAGGCAGCAUACCAA
This 397-nucleotide ribosomal RNA is filed under the name uncultured bacterium. Its description in RNAcentral is "partial 16S ribosomal RNA". It matches the Rfam family "Bacterial small subunit ribosomal RNA", at positions 338 to 732 of the family's 1533-position model. The record is from RNAcentral.